Topomyia yanbarensis is the source of this 525-nucleotide long non-coding RNA. RefSeq lists it as uncharacterized. Lineage: Eukaryota; Metazoa; Arthropoda; Insecta; Diptera; Culicidae. The transcript is spliced from 4 exons. The record is from RefSeq and is a predicted model, not a curated record.
CAAUCUGCGGACACACAUGAAAAUACACUACCGCGAUCCUGCGGAUGCGAUACCGAUGCAGGACCCUGCGCGGGCGAGCUUUCUCCAAGUCUUCGAAUCUGACGGUGCACAUGCGAAGGCACACCGGAGAGCGGCCGCACAAGUGCGAUUUUUGCGAUAAAAGUUUUCCUCGUUCCUUGGAUUUGCAGUAUCAUCACAGGACACAUACUGGUGAAAAGCUGUGUAUUUGUAAGGUUUGUGGAGCAGGGUUCACGAGGUCACACAAGCUCAUUGUACACAUGAGGACUCAUACCGGAGACAUACCAUUCAAGUGCACUUACUGCGAUCGGGAAAAGAAAUUCUCAGCAAGUCGAACCCAAAUCCGCCGGUAUCGCUAAUGAAAAACACGUCUCAUUAAUUGGGCGCAACAGCAAAUACUACCACAACGUUACUCCAGUAUUCAGUAUUGUCGAAGAUCAGGAUGAAGAAGACCUGCCACCAUCAUCAAUGAAGGACUCAUCAGUAUGCAGGCUGGAACACCACAAA